Molecule: unclassified non-coding RNA, 2041 nt
Filed under: Hevea brasiliensis (rubber tree)
Lineage: Eukaryota; Viridiplantae; Streptophyta; Magnoliopsida; Malpighiales; Euphorbiaceae
Source: RNAcentral
CCUCAGGGCCUCUAAGUUUCCUUACAGCCUCCAGGAGCUUGCCAGUGAGGUUAACAGCAAGAGAGCCUCUUUUUCUCUUGAUUAUUUGCUGUGCUUUCUCAACAAACAGAAGUGGAUUAGUUUCUGCAGCCUUAGUUAAUUCAGGCAUUGAAACAUGCAGGAAUCCAAAUUGGUUCCCCCAUGGUGACUCUGCAUUAGGCUUCACCAUUUCCUUUACCGAUUUGUAGCUACCAAUGAUCCUCGUAUUGAGCAACACCAAUGCUGUAGAAUGUGCAUUGGUUGAGUUAUUGCUAACUGCUAGCAUGUACAAUCGAAUCCCAUAGAAGAUUAUCCCAGUAAUUACAUCAUUUAUCGUCUGCAAAGAGCAAAAAUAAACAAUGAAAAUAUUAGAUUCCAUGGAUAAUUAUCAUGUUCAUUCAAAAUUUGACUAAUACAGUUGCUUUUUUACCCCAAGAACUCUUAAUCUCCUGUGUUAUAAUUACCAUGUUCAUUCAAAAGGAAAAACUUAGCAUGGACAUCAUCAACAAUGCUGUAGAAUGUGCAUCGGUUGAGUUAUUGCUAACUUAACCUGUGUGUUAUAAUGCAGUUAAACAGGCACUCGACCAAUGGACUAAUUAAUAGCCCAAUACUGGUAAUGAUAGUUGUGGCACUGGAGUUGUACCAUGAGAUUUAAGUUUGAGUUUCAGUAUAAGCCAAUUAUUAAAAAAGAAAAAACUCGAAUUAUAUGUUUGGAAUCUUCAGAAAAUUAAGAUUUAUGGUUAAUAGGAAAAAAAAAAUUUUGAUAGGGACUAGGGACCCACUUCAUCAAUAAAACCAACUACACAACAAUGAUAAGUGGUAGUUCUAUUUAUUAAGGGAGAAGCUUUAAUCUGAUACACUAAAACCUCUAGUCAGAAGUACACAAGUGCUGAUAAAGAUGUUUGGCUCAAAUUAUCUCCAAUGUAUUAUACUAAUCAAUCUUGUUUGAUGUAGUUUUCACGUAAUUAACUUAAUUGAAAACCUUAAGCAAUAAGAUGUAUGAAUAGUUAAAAUUUGAAGUUCUCAAUUUCUAGAAUGAAAAUGUCUAUGGAUGUAAUGAUCCAGUCUAACAUUAAUUCAAAAGAAACAACCCAGUUCAUAUGUAAGUAAAAAGAAAAGGAUUAAUUAACUUACCACUCCAAGCCUGGUCUUGAUUUGUUUGAUUUGAUCAAGAGAGAAUGUCAUUGUUGAAAUGGUAAUUGGCUUAAACUCAACCCCAUCAUCCCCAGAUCUUACAGGGGACUGAACAUCUUCAACCACACUGCUCUUAAGAAGGCUCCAUCCGAAAUCAGACAUGGUAUUAAAGAUUGAGCUAAAAGUUUCAGACACCGUACUCUUCUUACUCUUGAAUAUUUCAGGUUUGGAGCGUAGUUGAAGAGGAGGAAAUGUCAAGGGAAUAGAAGGGUUUUCUACCCUUUGGAGACAAGAAAGAAGAGCUCCCAUAAGAGAAAAUCCAUCUCCAAGAGCAUGGUGAAGCUUGAAAAUGAGAUUGCCAGCUGCAUUGCUUGUAGGGUAUUUUAUGAUAUGCAUUUCCCAUAAGGGUUGAGUUUGAGGAAGAGGUUCCAAAGCUAUUUUUGAUAAAUAGCCAUUGAAGUAAUUUUCAUAAGACUUUGGUGAUAAUCCAGCAGGGAAAGUGGGGACAUUUACAUGGUUUUUUAGGUUAACAUCAACUCUCUUCCAUUGUUUUUCACCUUUUCUAUCACUGAUCAUGAUGGAGGAGAAUCGAGGGUUGAUGGGGAGGAAAACAUCUUGAAGCAAAGACAUGGUAGGCGAGUCAUCAAUCGGAACUUCUGAUUCUAAAACACCAAGAACACAAAUUGAAAGCACUGAGCUAUUGAAGUAUUGCCCUGUUGGACUCACAGGUUCUGCCAUUCCUUCUUCUUCUUGCUUCGAGCGCUCCAUCGAUAUGUUUUCUUGAGUUUCACUUCCCAUAGACUUUGGCUUCAACUCUUGUAAACUUGAAAGCUAUUUUAUAUAGCUGGAGAAGAAUGCUCAUGCAAGUGACACAACAAAUAAAGGUUAC